Molecule: ribosomal RNA, 610 nt
Filed under: uncultured bacterium
Lineage: Bacteria
Description: bacterial SSU rRNA
Rfam family: Bacterial small subunit ribosomal RNA
Source: RNAcentral
CCUACGGGAGGCAGCAGUGGGGAAUCUUGCGCAAUGCACGAAAGUGUGACGCAGCAACGCCGCGUGGAGGAAGAAGGCUCUCGGGUCGUAAACUCCUUUCAGUUGGGACGAAGCUUCGUCGGUUAAUAGCCGGCUGGAGUGACGGUACCUUCACAAGAAGCACCGGCUAACUACGUGCCAGCAGCCGCGGUAAUACGUAGGGUGCAAGCGUUGUCCGGAAUCGAUUGGGCGUAAAGAGCGUGUAGGCGGCCCGAUUAGUCCGCUGUGAAAGUCCAGGGCUCAACCCUGGAAUGCCGGUGGAUACUGUCGGGCUCGAGUCCGGAAGAGGCGAGUGGAAUUCCUGGUGUAGCGGUGAAAUGCGCAGAUAUCAGGAAGAACACCAACGGCGAAGGCAGCUCGCUGGGACGGUACUGACGCUGAGACGCGAAAGCGUGGGGAGCAAACAGGAUUAGAUACCCUGGUAGUCCACGCCGUAAACGAUGGGUACUAGGUGUGGGGGUGUCGACUCCCCCGGUGCCGAAGCUAACGCAUAAGUACCCGCCUGGGAGUACGGCCGCAAGGCUAAAACCGCAANAGAGUAGAGNGNGAGAGNGCGAGCGACGACGAGGAG